GACGAACGCUGGCGGCGUGCCUAAUACAUGCAAGUAGAACGCUGAAGGAGGAGCUUGCUUCUCUGGAUGAGUUGCGAACGGGUGAGUAACGCGUAGGUAACCUGCCUGGUAGCGGGGGAUAACUAUUGGAAACGAUAGCUAAUACCGCAUAAGAGUAGAUGUUGCAUGACAUUUGCUUAAAAGGUGCAAUUGCAUCACUACCAGAUGGACCUGCGUUGUAUUAGCUAGUUGGUGAGGUAACGGCUCACCAAGGCGACGAUACAUAGCCGACCUGAGAGGGUGAUCGGCCACACUGGGACUGAGACACGGCCCAGACGCCUACGGGAGGCAGCAGUAGGGAAUCUUCGGCAAUGGACGGAAGGCUGACCGAGCAACGCCGCGUGAGUGAAGAAGGUUUUCGGAUCGUAAAGCUCUGUUGUAAGAGAAGAACGAGUGUGAGAGUGGAAAGUUCACACUGUGACGGUAUCUUACCAGAAAGGGACGGCUAACUACGUG
RNAcentral lists this ribosomal RNA (495 nucleotides) under uncultured bacterium. RNAcentral describes it as "partial 16S ribosomal RNA". It matches the Rfam family "Bacterial small subunit ribosomal RNA", at positions 28 to 507 of the family's 1533-position model. The record is from RNAcentral.